This is a long non-coding RNA of Callithrix jacchus (white-tufted-ear marmoset), 2312 nucleotides long. The record is from Ensembl. Lineage: Eukaryota; Metazoa; Chordata; Mammalia; Primates; Cebidae.
GGGCUUCAGGGACAGAGGCUUCAGUACGUAAUGAUGUCUAACCAGACCUUUUUUUUUUCUCUUUCUAAUCAGACUUUUACAAUUUAUUUUUACUUUUUUAUUUUUUAGAUGGAGUUUCGCUGGUGUUACCCAGACUGGAGUGCAAUGACACGAUCUCAGCUCACCGCAACCUCCGCCUUCUUGGUUCAAGCAAUUCUCCUGCCUCAGCCUCCCGAGUAGCUGGGACUACAGGCGCGCACCACCAUGCCCAGCUAAUUUUUGUAGUUUUAGUAGAGACGGGGUUUCACCUUGUUGACCAGGAUGGUCUCGAUCUCUUGACCUCAUGAUCCACCCGCCUCGGCCUCCCAAAGUGCUGGGAUUAUAGGCAUGAGCCACCGUGCCUGGCCCUAAUCAGUCUUUAAUAACAUUAUUUUGAACAAUUAAAUUGACUCUUUAGGUGGCUUCUACUUAGGACAAAGGAUACUGGCUUUCCAUUUCCGAAUGUCCACUUGAUUCAAAGUUUCCGUUUGAAAUACAUUUAAUUAAGCCAGGAGAAACGGUGAGGAAAUAAUAGUGCAUGAAUAGAACAACAUCACGAAGCUGGAACUUGAAUGUCUGAAGUUGGGGAAUGGAUGCCUGCACCUCAUUUUCAGCUUCAUUUUACUCUCAGGAUGGAAGAGCUGAGCCUCCAUGUUCAUGCCCAGAUGAGUGUGAAAAACAAGUCAACAAAUAAACACAAUCUUCUACCAGAAGACCCUGAAACAAAGCAAACAGCUGCCCGCAUUGCUGAAGCAGAGCAGAGCAUCCCUGGUGUCACCCAGUAGGAGACAGAUUCCACAUGGUGACACUGGGGCUCGUGUCAUAUGGAAACAAGAAGAUCUUGGUUCUUCCACUUAAUGGCUGUGGGACCCGAGAAACUGACUUCCUGUGCUGCAAUUUUCUUGCGUAUAAAAUGGGGACGAUACUGGUGCCUGCCCCAUAGGAUCAUUUUGCAGAUAACAUAAGAUAAUACAGAUAAAGCAUUUAGAAUAAUUCACACUGUAUGGUGUGCCUGAUAAUUGUCAGCUAUUUCAGUUACAAUUCCUUUUUCUUUUAUUUUUUUUGAGACUAGGUCUUGCUCUGUGGCCCAGGCUGGAGUGCAGUGGUGCAAACAUGGUUCACUGCAGCUUCUACUGCCCGGGUAGAAGCGAUCCUCCUGCCUUAGCCUCCCAUGUAGCUGGGACCACAGGCACGUACCACCAUGACUGGCUGAUUUUUUUGUCAAGACAGAGUCUUCGUUGCCCAGGCUGGUCUCAAACUCCUGGGCUUAAGCAAUCUUCCUGCUUCAGCCUCCCAAAGUGCUGAGAAUAUGGGUGGGAACAGCUGUGCCCAGCUUCAGUUAUAAUCCUCAUGGUUUUGAAUAGAGUGUGAAUGGCUUUGUGAUCUUAGACAAAUUACUCAAACUUUUCAUGCUUGUUUCUUCAUCUGUAAACAAAGAAAUAACCAUACCUACAUCACAGGAGUAGCUAUAAAAUUAGUAAGUGGAGUAACUCAUGAAAUUGUUAGUCCUGUGGUUAGCACUUGGCAGAAUCUGAAUAAAAUCAUUUUCUUUUCUUUUACUUAGGCAGAACUCAAUCGACUAGAGAGUUAAAAUGAUUAGGUUGUUUGUUUAAGAAAUAAAAUCUUUUGCACUUAUGCUUUUAAAAAUUAUUUUUAUUUUUAAUUGACAAAUCAGAGUUGUAUGUGUUUAUGGGAUACAUAAUGUUUUGCUGUAUGUAUAUUCUGUGAAAUGAUUAAAUCAAGCAAAUUAGCAUAACUAUUACCUGACAGUGGUAACUUCUUUUUUUGUGAUGAGAAAAUUUAAAAUCUACUCCCCUAACAAGGUUCAAGCACACAACAUAGCCCAGCACAGUAGCUCAUGCCUAGAAUCCUAGCACUUUGGGAAGCUGAGGCAGGUGAAUCCUUUGGGCUCAGGAGCAAAACCAGCCUGGGCAACGUGGCAAAACCCCAUCUCUACCAACAAUACAAAAAGUUAGCCAGGAGUGAGGGCAAGUGCCUUUGGUCCAAGCUACAUGGGAAGCCAAGGCAGGAGGAUCACUUAAGCCCAUGAAGUUGAGGCUACAGUGAGCUGUGAUCACACCACUGUACUUCAGCUUGGGUGACAGAGUGAGACCCCGUCUCAAAAAAAAAAAAAAAAAAAAGUAGAAAAUACAUGGUUAUUAAUGAUAGUUGCCGUGUUGUACAUUAGUUCUUCUGAACUUAUUCCUCAGGUCUAAAUGAUAUUUUGUAUCCUUUGACCAAUAUCUCUCCCUCACUCCCAGUUUUAAUUAUAGCACAACACAUAUAAAGUACAC